RNAcentral lists this ribosomal RNA (533 nucleotides) under uncultured bacterium. Its description in RNAcentral is "bacterial SSU rRNA". It matches the Rfam family "Bacterial small subunit ribosomal RNA", at positions 772 to 1299 of the family's 1533-position model. The record is from RNAcentral.
ACUGAAUAGAUACCCUGGUAGUCCACGCUGUAAACGAUGGGGUGCUAGCUGUUCGGGGGGUUUACCCCUGAGUAGCGCAGCUAAACGCGUUAAGCACCCCGCCUGGGGAGUACGGUCGCAAGAUUAAAACUCAAAGAAAUUGACGGGGACCCGCACAAGCGGUGGAACAUGUGGUUUAAUUCGAGGCAACGCGAAGAACCUUACCAGGGUUUGACAUGCUCUCUAUGGAUUGCUGAAAGGCGAUCCUUCACUUCGGGUGGGAGAUGCACAGGUGCUGCAUGGCUGUCGUCAGCUCGUGUCGUGAGAUGUUGGGUUAAGUCCCGCAACGAGCGCAACCCUCGUCCUCUGUUGCUAACAGGUUAUGCUGAGAACUCUGAGGAAACCUGCCGGUGAUAAGCCGGAGGAAGGUGGGGAUGACGUCAAGUCCUCAUGGCCCUUACACCCUGGGCUACACACGUGUUACAAUGGCAGUGACAAUGCGCCGCUAACCCGCAAGGGUACGCUAAUCGCAAAAAGCUGCCUCAGUUUGGAUU